This is a non-coding RNA of Pedobacter glucosidilyticus, 72 nucleotides long. The record is from Rfam. NCBI's taxonomy places the organism in Bacteria, Pseudomonadati, Bacteroidota, Sphingobacteriia, Sphingobacteriales, Sphingobacteriaceae.
GCCUCCGUAGUUUAAUGGAUAGAAUGAUGGUUUCCGGUACCAUUGGUAGGGGUUCGAAUCCCUUCGGAGGCG